UAAAUAAAAAUAUAUUCAAUGUGUAUGUGGAAUACAAGAUAUCUUAUCGCGUUACCUUCAUAAACCGGUUUAUGCUGAUUCAUUCAGAUUGCUUUUAUGACAAUAAGAUAAUAAGAACGUGAAAUUAUCGGAAUCAGUUAUGCAUCUGUGGUGAAACGAUAAAUGUAUGCCAGAAAUAGCUGUUCGCCACAUUUAAUACAGCUAUUGAAGUAGCAAUUUCGCGCGAUGAGUUCACUGGAUCUACCGCGUGUUUUGGUUACUAGCUAUGCAACGCCGACAACCGGCAUCGAUUUGCUUCGACCAAAAUGCAAUCUCACUAUUAUGCCAGGUGUUGAAAAUGCUCGGGAACAAGUACUAAAAGUUCUACCUGGACAUGAUGCUGUCUUUCUUGUCGGCCAUCAUAAAGUUGAUAGCGAGUUCCUAGAUGUUGCCGGUCCAAACUUGAAAGUCGUAUCGACAAUGUCAGCCGGUUACGAACACUUAGAUGUCCCUGAAAUUAAAAGAAGAGGAAUCAAGAUCGGACACACGCCGAAGGUGGUGUCGGCUGCAGUUGCGGAGAUAGCUAUAUUUUUAAUGUUAUCUGCUGCGAAACGCGCCUAUGAGGGUCGCGCGGCGUUAGAACAGAAUCAAGUAAAACCUGGACCGCAAUGGUUGUUGGGACAGGAAUUACGAGGCUCGACAGUCGGCAUCUUUGGUUUGGGAAAUAUUGGUCAAGCGAUCGUUAAACGAUUAGUGGGCUUCGAAGUGAAACGCUUUAUCUAUACCGGACAUUCGCGCAAGAAAGCAGGUGAUGAACUUGGAGCAAUAUUUGUAUCUUUCGACGAUCUUUUGAAGCAGAGUGAUUACCUUGUGGUUGCGGCUCCUUUAACUAAUGAAACGAAAGGACUUUUCGACGACAGUGUUUUUGAUAAAAUGAAAAAAACAUCCAUCUUCGUGAAUAUAGCUCGCGGUCAAAUUGUCAAUACCGAUUCGCUUGUAAGAGCUCUCCGUAAUAAGAAGAUAUUUGCUGCCGGGCUGGAUGUUACUGAUCCGGAACCGCUACCACCGUAUCAUGAACUUCUUAAACUACCUAAUGCCGAAAUUAUACCACAUUUGGGCAGCGCAACGAUCAAGACCCGCAACGAUAUGUCGACGAUUGCAGCACAGAACAUUCUUCAUGGUCUUGAGGGCAAGCCUUUAGUUUAUCCUUUAUAGCAAAUUUUCCUUGCAUAAUUUUGCUUAUAUGUAUUUCUUCUAAUGACAAAGUCCACAGAUUUGAGAUCCAUACUCAAUAUUUAUCACCCAUAAUGGACAACAGGUAACCAUCAGGCUUCUACUACUGCAUUUUUUAAACUACAUAGAAUAGGAUCAAUCUUAUUUUCCAAUGAUAAUAUGUGACCAGUAUUGCAAUUGU
Molecule: RNA transcript, 1393 nt
Organism: Camponotus floridanus (Florida carpenter ant)
Lineage: Eukaryota; Metazoa; Arthropoda; Insecta; Hymenoptera; Formicidae
Gene name: glyoxylate reductase/hydroxypyruvate reductase
Exons: 8
Source: RefSeq, a predicted model, not a curated record